Molecule: ribosomal RNA, 758 nt
Filed under: Lentilactobacillus buchneri
Lineage: Bacteria; Bacillati; Bacillota; Bacilli; Lactobacillales; Lactobacillaceae
Description: bacterial SSU rRNA
Rfam family: Bacterial small subunit ribosomal RNA
Source: RNAcentral
AUACAUGCAAGUCGAACGCGUCUCCGUUAAUGAUUUUAGGUGCUUGCACUUGAAAGAUUUAACAUUGAGACGAGUGGCGAACUGGUGAGUAACACGUGGGUAACCUGCCCUUGAAGUAGGGGAUAACACUUGGAAACAGGUGCUAAUACCGUAUAACAACCAAAACCACCUGGUUUUGGUUUAAAAGACGGCUUCGGCUGUCACUUUAGGAUGGACCCGCGGCGUAUUAGCUUGUUGGUAAGGUAACGGCUUACCAAGGCGAUGAUACGUAGCCGACCUGAGAGGGUAAUCGGCCACAUUGGGACUGAGACACGGCCCAAACUCCUACGGGAGGCAGCAGUAGGGAAUCUUCCACAAUGGACGAAAGUCUGAUGGAGCAACGCCGCGUGAGUGAUGAAGGGUUUCGGCUCGUAAAACUCUGUUGUUGGAGAAGAACAGGUGUCAGAGUAACUGUUGACAUCUUGACGGUAUCCAACCAGAAAGCCACGGCUAACUACGUGCCAGCAGCCGCGGUAAUACGUAGGUGGCAAGCGUUGUCCGGAUUUAUUGGGCGUAAAGCGAGCGCAGGCGGUUUUUUAGGUCUGAUGUGAAAGCCUUCGGCUUAACCGGAGAAGUGCAUCGGAAACCGGGAGACUUGAGUGCAGAAGAGGACAGUGGAACUCCAUGUGUAGCGGUGAAAUGCGUAGAUAUAUGGAAGAACACCAGUGGCGAAGGCGGCUGUCUGGUCUGUAACUGACGCUGAGGCUCGAAAGCAUGGG